Molecule: long non-coding RNA, 1371 nt
Filed under: Setaria viridis
Lineage: Eukaryota; Viridiplantae; Streptophyta; Magnoliopsida; Poales; Poaceae
Description: long non-coding RNA (SVIR_LNC005335)
Source: RNAcentral
CACUGUGAGGUCAUUCGGCAUCAGGCGUAAUGAGAAGAUUGCGUGCUAUGUGACAGUUAGGGGAGAGAAGGCGAUGCAGCUGCUGGAGAGUGGCUUGAAGGUCAAGGAGUAUGAGCUGCUGAGGAGGAACUUCAGUGAGACUGGCUGCUUUGGGUUUGGUAUCCAGGAGCACAUUGAUCUUGGCAUCAAGUAAGAUUAUAUAAUAUUUCUGCUCUCUAGUAAUUUGAAUGUGGUGUGCUGUCUCAGUGAAUGGAUGCUUUUUCAUGGUUUUGUUGCUUGUAGUAAGUAGAGGAAUGAAAUGUAAUUUUAGAUUCAUGUGUGCAGCAUGUGGGUCGCUACUCACUAUGACAACUUAACACGGUUUGAGAAUCCGCUGUAGCCUGAUCUAUUUGCUGAUGUACUAAUGUGACUGGAUCGCACACCAUGGAAUUUCCUUUUAUGCUAAGAAUAUGAUGUUUUGUUAUCUAAUACAGUAUCCAAGAUAUUUUUGCAAGUCAUGUUGAAUUGAUGACAUCCAAAUUUUUUCUAUGUAGGAGUAGCCAUUAAUGCAAAACACUAUUUCUUAUAUUCUGUUCACUUGAGUUCAAUUGUAUGCUUUUUCAGAAACUGCCACACCCGUGUAUAAUAUUGCAUUAAGUUUUAGUCUAUUGUGAUCUUGUACCAGGAUUGUCCUGAGCAAGUCAAAAUGCCAUUCUUUGGGUGCAUCUGUGAUUUUUAUCUCUGAUUUAUUGCAUGGUUAGCAUGCUUGUCCAGGCCUAUGGUCAAAUUUGUAGUACUGUGGUGCAACAGACAUAUUUACUGUGUUGUUAUUAUUGACAAGUUAUUUGUAUCCUGGACCUGGAGUACCACCUUGAUUUAAACUGUGCAUAUAAUUCCAUCCCCACUUGAUUUCAGUUUGCAUAACGCUAUACUGUUGUUGCCUUUACUGUCUGCAUAUGUGGGCAUUGUGUGUUUGUGGCUAGUUUCUCCUCCCUUAGAGAUUUAAAAUUUCAGAGUACUUAUUGUGCAUUUGCUGGGGAUAGUUCCUGUCUGCCUAGUUCCUGCUUAGUGAAGUGCUGCAUUUUGUUGAUGAUUAAUAGCCGUUCUCUUUAUUGCAUUAUCUCAGGUAUGACCCAUCUACUGGUAUCUACGGCAUGGACUUCUACGUCGUCCUUGAGCGGGCUGGGUACCGCGUUGCCCGCCGCCGCAGGUGCAAGUCUCGUGUUGGUAUCCAGCACAGGGUCACCAAGGAGGACGCCAUGAAGUGGUUCCAGGUCAAGUACGAGGGUGUGAUCCUCAACAAGGCCCAGGCCAACUCCUAAGCAUCACAAGAAGAGCUUAGCUCCUCGUCAAAUCUCGAGUUCAUUAAGUCUAUCUGGUGGUUGGGUUUGU